Molecule: long non-coding RNA, 850 nt
Organism: Sciurus carolinensis (gray squirrel)
Lineage: Eukaryota; Metazoa; Chordata; Mammalia; Rodentia; Sciuridae
Exons: 4
Source: RefSeq, a predicted model, not a curated record
CUCAAGACCAGACCAGGCUGCUCUGAUUUCAUCCCAACCUCCAUCUACAGCUAAACUGCACAGGGAAGAGGAUCCAACCGGUCCCUCCCUCCGUCUGACCGAGGAGCAGACCCGGGAUAGCCAGGGACGAUGCCAGGGAUCCUUUUGAGCCUCGCAGGGACGAUGCCAGGGAUCCCUUCGAACCUCGCCCCAAGUAGCCCGACCCCGGCCGGCAGGCGCCCAUCUCCGGCCGGACCUCAGGCUGAGCCCGUACCUUCCGCAGCACUUUCCGGCAGUUGGUACAGAGCAGGUCUCUAGUGUACCAGGAUUUGUGAAGGCCUGCAGUUCGUAGAAUGAAUCUGUGGAGAUGAUUUAAAAGAACACUUCAACUGCCCCAGCCAUUGACGAGCACCACUCAUUUGACUUGAAGUCAUUGGUUGUGUUUUCUGUGCCUCUGACGGUGCUGAUUUCAGUGUGUUGUUAUGUCACAUUUGUAUCCUUUUGCUAGGUUUAAAACUGAGCACUCCAAGCAAGUAGAUUCUUUUCUUCUGGUAUGCCAGGGGAAAACAGACAGUACUCCAGCAAAAAUAACCUUCCUGCCAAUCUGCAUUAUAACUUGAAGAGGCACCUAGUCAAGUAAAUGAAGAAAAUGGAUAUUUAGUCAUGGAGGAGCUUAAUUAACCUGUUUCACUUUUUUUUUUUUUUUUUAAUAUCUCCAUACAACAAUAUGGAUAGAGUUUACUGCAUUACACUACUUGUCACCUGCUUUAUGAUUGUUUUUUUACUUGGAUUCCUUCUCCAUGAGAUUAUAUGCUUUGCGAGGAGUGUUUUCUUCAUCAUUCUGUCCUUAAUUCAGUAAUUUUUAAAGAAG